Molecule: RNA transcript, 11855 nt
Organism: Pan troglodytes (chimpanzee)
Lineage: Eukaryota; Metazoa; Chordata; Mammalia; Primates; Hominidae
Gene: ASPM
Gene name: assembly factor for spindle microtubules
Exons: 27
Source: RefSeq, marked provisional
CCUGUAUUCCUCAUCUGUAAGAUACAAAUAAUGGUACCUACGCCCUAAGAGAUACCUCGUAGGUUUAAGGCAAAGGUUGAGAUAAAUAGGUAAAGGAUUUUUAAAAAUCCCUAGCCUAGGGUCGGGCGCCGCUCAGGCCUGUAAUCCCAGCACUUUGGGAGGCCGAGGCGGAGGCAGGCGGAUCACUUGAGGCCAGGAGUUCCAGACCAGCCUGGCGAACAUGGCGAACUCCCCUCUCUACCAAAAAUACAAAAAUUAGCCAGUCGUGGUGAGGCGCGCCUCUAAUUCCAGCUACUUGGGAGGCUGAGGCAGGAGAAUCGCUUGAACCCGGGAGGCGGAGGUUGCAGUGAACCAAGAUCACGUCACUGCACUCCAGCCUGGGAGACAGAGCGAGACUCCAUCUCAAAAUAAAUAAAUAAUUUUAAAAAUCCCUAAUAUGUAAGCUAUAAUUAUUAUUAGAUCCCUACAAUUGAAAUAAAAACUAAUAAGAUAUUUGUGAAGGGCAUUGCCAGUCAAAACAAUCAUUUAUGAAUUACUGGUAAUCUCAGGUUUCAUUUGUUUACCUGGUUUUGCUCCCAGCGUCCCGAGGUAAUUAACAGCAUGUAAAUGUACUGAGUCCCUGCUAUGUUGUCACUAAAAUAAGCAUGUUCAUACAAAUUAAUUAUCUUUACAUCUCUACCAUUCAGCCCUGGAAACCGCGACAGUAAAGUUAAUAUAAUUCUGGGCGGGGUAUGCAUAUGAGAGGAGUGGCAUAAACCAAUUUUUGCCUACGUAACAGUUUUAUCUAUGAUUGUUCCUGGAAACCGCAAUGAUUACUACAUGUAUUGUGGAAAUGCUGUGACUCCCUUCCCUUCAGCACAACCAAAAAUAUAAAGACGAAUUUCAAUUCUAAGCCCCGGGUUUUAGACGGUGGCCAGGAUUCCGCUACCGUUCUCACCUCCUCCGCAGAUAGCGAUUGGCGGCCGGAUGCAAUCAUUCAAAUGAAGCGCCGCCGUCUCAUUGGCCAGGGGAUGCUGCUCACCGAUUGGUCCCGUGACGAGGAGGGCGGUGCCCGGAGGUCCUCAUUGGUGGAGGCGGCAAGUUUAAACAGAGUCAAAACGCCAUACUUGUUUGGCUCCUCUUUUUAAUUUGCGAGCUUAUUGGGCUUGUUUUCUGUUUUCUAGGGUGUAGGUUAGUGGAAAAGAAAAAGGGCCGAAUUCAAUCCCACGACCUCUACAGCCGCCCCUGAGGGGAAGCGGUCAGCGUAAGUCCCGGAUCCCCGCUCCGGAGCCGCCUCGUGGGAGCGGGGCAAGGAGAUCCAGGAGGGGUCUCGAAUCUGCCAUGGCGAACCGGCGAGUGGGGCGAGGCUGCUGGGAAGUGAGCCCGACCGAGCGGAGGCCGCCCGCGGGGCUGCGGGGCCCCGCGGCCGAGGAGGAGGCGUCUUCCCCGCCGGUCCUGUCUCUCAGCCACUUCUGCAGGUCUCCUUUCCUUUGCUUCGGGGACGUUCUCCUGGGAGCCUCACGGACGCUGUCUCUGGCCCUAGACAACCCUAACGAGGAGGUGGCAGAAGUGAAGAUCUCCCACUUCCCGGCCGCGGACCUGGGCUUCAGCGUGUCGCAGCGCUGUUUCGUGUUGCAGCCUAAAGAGAAAAUUGUUAUUUCUGUUAACUGGACACCACUCAAAGAAGGCCGAGUAAGAGAGAUUAUGACAUUUCUUGUAAAUGAUGUUCUGAAACACCAAGCUAUAUUACUAGGAAAUGCAGAAGAGCAGAAAAAGAAAAAGAGGAGUCUUUGGGAUACCAUUAAAAAGAAGAAAAUUUCAGCCUCUACAAGUCACAACAGAAGGGUUUCAAAUAUUCAGAAUGUUAAUAAAACAUUUAGUGUUUCCCAAAAAGUUGACAGAGUUAGGAGCCCACUACAAGCUUGUGAAAACUUGGCUAUGAAUGAAGGCGGUCCCCCAACAGAAAACAAUUCUUUAAUACUUGAAGAAAAUAAAAUACCCAUAUCACCUAUUAGCCCUGCUUUCAAUGAAUACCAUGGUGCAACUUGCUUGCCACUCUCUGUACGUCGAUCUACUACCUACUCAUCUCUUCAUGCAUCAGAAAAUAGGGAACUAUUAAAUGUACACAGUGCCAACGUUUCAAAAGUUUCUUUUAAUGAGAAAGCUGUAACUGAAACUUCCUUUAAUUCCGUAAAUGUUAAUGGCCAAAGUGGAGAGAAUAGUAAACUUAGUCUUACCCCCAACUAUUCUUCAACUUUGAACAUUACACAAAGCCAAACACAUUUUCUAAGUCCAGAUUCUUUUGUAAAUAAUAGUCAUGGAGCUAAUAAUGAACUGGAAUUAGUAACAUGUCUUUCAUCAGAUAUGUUUAUGAAAGAUAAUUCAAAGCCUGUGCAUUUGGAAUCAACAAUUGCACAUGAAAUUUAUCAGAAAAUUUUAAGUCCAGAUUCUUUCAUAAAAGAUAAUUAUGGACUAAAUCAGGAUCUAGAAUCAGAGUCAGUUAAUCCUAUUUUAUCCCCUAAUCAAUUUUUAAAAGAUAACAUGGCAUAUAUGUGUACAUCUCAGCAAACAUGUAAAGUACCAUUAUCAAAUGAAAAUUCUCAAGUCCCACAGUCUCCUGAAGAUUGGAGAAAAAGUGAAGUUUCGCCACGUAUUCCUGAAUGUCAGGGUUCAAAAUCUCCCAAAGCUAUUUUUGAAGAACUAGUAGAAAUGAAGUCAAAUUACUACAGUUUUAUAAAACAAAAUAAUCCUAAAUUUUCUGCAGUUCAGGAUAUUUCUAGUCAUAGCCACAAUAAACAACCUAAGAGACGCCCAAUACUUUCUGCCACUGUUACUAAAAGGAAGGCCACCUGUACCAGAGAAAACCAAACUGAGAUUAAUAAACCAAAAGCAAAAAGAUGUCUCAACAGUGCAGUGGGUGAACAUGAAAAAGUAAUAAAUAAUCAAAAGGAAAAAGAAGAUUUUCAUUCUUAUCUUCCAAUUAUAGAUCCAAUAUUAAGUAAAUCUAAGAGUUAUAAAAACGAGGUAACACCCUCUUCGACAACAGCUUCAGUUGCUCGGAAAAGAAAGAGCGAUGGAAGCAUGGAAGAUGGAAAUGUGAGAGUUGCAAUUACAGAACAUACAGAAGUGCGAGAAAUCAAAAGAAUCCAUUUUUCUCCCUCAGAGCCUAAAACAUCAGCUGUUAAGAAAACAAAAAAUGUGAUAACACCCAUCUCAAAACGUAUUAGCAACAGAGAGAAAUUAAACCUGAAGAAGAAAACUGAUUUAUCAAUAUUCAGAACUCCAAUUUCUAAAACAAACAAAAGGACAAAACCCAUUAUCGCUGUGGCACAGUCCAGUUUGACCUUCAUAAAACCAUUAAAAACAGAUAUUCCGAGACACCCGAUGCCAUUUGCUGCAAAAAACAUGUUUUAUGAUGAACGCUGGAAGGAAAAGCAGGAACAGGGCUUCACUUGGUGGUUAAAUUUUAUAUUAACCCCUGAUGACUUCACUGUAAAAACAAAUAUUUCUGAAGUAAAUGCUGCUACUCUUCUUUUGGGAAUAGAGAAUCAACAUAAAAUAAGUGUUCCUAGAGCACCUACAAAAGAGGAAAUGUCUCUCAGAGCUUAUACUGCUCGGUGUAGGUUAAACAGACUACGUCGUGCAGCAUGCCGUUUGUUUACUUCUGAAAAAAUGGUUAAAGCUAUUAAAAAGCUUGAAAUUGAAAUUGAAGCUAGGCGGUUAAUUGUUCGAAAAGAUAGACACCUAUGGAAAGAUGUGGGAGAACGUCAGAAAGUCCUGAAUUGGCUGUUGUCCUACAAUCCUUUGUGGCUUCGAAUUGGUCUAGAGACAACUUAUGGAGAACUCAUAUCUUUGGAAGAUAACAGUGAUGUCACAGGGUUGGCUAUGUUUAUUCUGAAUCGCCUACUUUGGAAUCCUGAUAUAGCAGCUGAGUAUAGACACCCCAGUGUUCCUCACCUGUAUAGAGAUGGUCAUGAAGAAGUUUUGUCCAAGUUUACAUUGAAAAAGUUAUUGUUGUUGGUCUGUUUUCUUGAUUAUGCUAAAAUUUCCAGACUUAUUGAUCAUGAUCCUUGUCUCUUCUGUAAAGAUGCCGAAUUCAAGGCUAGUAAAGAAAUCCUUUUGGCUUUUUCACGAGAUUUCCUAAGUGGUGAAGGUGACCUUUCCCGUCACCUUGGCUUAUUGGGAUUACCUGUUAACCAUGUUCAGACACCAUUUGAUGAAUUUGAUUUUGCCGUUACAAAUCUUGCUGUAGACUUGCAAUGUGGAGUGCGCCUUGUGCGAACCAUGGAACUUCUCACACAGAACUGGGACCUCUCAAAGAAACUCAGGAUUCCGGCAAUAAGUCGUCUUCAAAAGAUGCACAAUGUUGACAUUGUUCUUCAAGUUCUUAAAUCACGAGGAAUUGAAUUAAGUGAUGAGCAUGGAAAUACAAUUCUAUCUAAGGAUAUUGUGGAUAGGCACAGAGAAAAAACUCUCAGGUUGCUUUGGAAAAUAGCAUUUGCUUUUCAGGUGGAUAUUUCCCUUAACUUAGAUCAAUUAAAGGAAGAAAUUGCCUUUCUAAAACACACAAAGAGUAUAAAGAAAACAAUAUCUCUACUAUCAUGCCAUUCUGAUGAUCUUAUUAAUAAGAAAAAAGGCAAAAGGGAUUGUGGUUCCUUUGAACAAUAUAGUGAAAACAUAAAGUUAUUGAUGGAUUGGGUAAAUGCUGUUUGUGCCUUCUAUAAUAAAAAGGUGGAGAAUUUUACAGUGUCUUUCUCAGACGGCCGUGUGUUAUGUUACCUGAUCCACCAUUACCAUCCUUGCUAUGUGCCAUUUGACGCUAUAUGUCAGCGUACUACUCAAACUGUGGAAUGUACGCAAACUGGUUCAGUGGUAUUAAAUUCAUCAUCUGAAUCUGAUGACAGUUCUCUGGAUAUGUCACUUAAAGCAUUUGAUCAUGAAAAUACUUCAGAGCUAUACAAAGAGCUCCUAGAAAAUGAAAAGAAAAAUUUUCACUUGGUUAGGUCUGCAGUUAGAGACCUUGGUGGAAUACCUGCUAUGAUUAAUCAUUCAGAUAUGUCAAAUACAAUUCCAGAUGAAAAGGUGGUUAUUACCUAUUUGUCAUUUCUUUGUGCAAGGCUUUUGGAUCUUCGUAAAGAAAUAAGAGCUGCUCGACUCAUACAAACAACAUGGAGAAAAUAUAAACUAAAAACAGAUCUCAAACGCCAUCAGGAGAGAGAGAAAGCUGCAAGAAUUAUUCAAUUGGCUGUAAUCAAUUUUCUAGCAAAACAAAGAUUGAGAAAAAGAGUUAAUGCAGCACUCGUCAUUCAGAAAUAUUGGCGAAGAGUCUUAGCACAGAGAAAAUUAUUAAUGUUAAAAAAGGAAAAGCUGGAAAAAGUUCAAAAUAAAGCAGCAUCACUUAUUCAGGGAUAUUGGAGAAGAUAUUCCACUAGACAAAGAUUUCUGAAAUUGAAAUAUUAUUCAAUCAUCCUGCAAUCUAGGAUAAGAAUGAUAAUUGCUGUUACAUCUUAUAAACGAUAUCUUUGGGCUACAGUUACAAUUCAGAGGCAUUGGCGUGCUUAUUUAAGAAGAAAACAAGAUCAACAAAGAUAUGAAAUGCUAAAAUCAUCAACUCUUAUAAUCCAAUCUAUGUUCAGAAAAUGGAAGCAACGUAAAAUGCAAUCACAAGUAAAAGCUACAGUAAUAUUGCAAAGAGCUUUUAGAGAAUGGCAUUUAAGAAAACAAGCUAAAGAACAAAAUUCUGCUAUUAUCAUACAAUCAUGGUAUAGAAUGCAUAAAGAAUUACGGAAAUAUAUUUAUAUUAGAUCUUGUGUUGUUAUCAUUCAGAAAAGAUUUCGGUGCUUUCAAGCCCAAAAGUUGUAUAAAAGAAAAAAAGAGUCCAUACUAACCAUCCAGAAGUACUACAAAGCAUAUCUGAAAGGAAAGAUUGAGCGCACCAACUAUUUGCAGAAACGAGCUGCAGCCAUUCAAUUACAAGCUGCUUUUAGGAGACUGAAAGCUCAUAAUUUAUAUAGACAAAUUAGAGCUGCUUGUGUUAUUCAGUCAUACUGGAGAAUGAGACAAGACAGAGUUCGAUUUUUAAACCUUAAGAAGACUAUUAUCAAAUUGCAGGCACAUGUAAGAAAACAUCAACAACGACAGAAAUAUAAGAAGAUGAAGAAAGCAGCUGUUAUAAUUCAGACUCAUUUCCGAGCUUAUAUUUUUGCCAUGAAAGUUCUAGCAUCUUACCAGAAAAUACGCUCUGCUGUCAUUGUGCUGCAGUCUGCAUAUAGAGGGAUGCAAGCCAGGAAAAUGUAUAUUCACAUCCUCACAUCUGUUAUAAAGAUUCAAUCAUAUUAUCGUGCUUAUGUUUCUAAAAAGGAAUUUUUGAGCCUAAAAAAUGCUACAAUAAAAUUGCAGUCAAUUGUUAAGAUGAAACAAACACGUAAACAAUAUUUGCAUUUAAGAGCAGCUGCACUAUUUAUCCAGCAAUGUUACCGUUCCAAAAAAAUAGCUGCACAAAAGAGAGAAGAGUAUAUGCAGAUGCGGGAAUCUUGUAUCAAACUGCAAGCAUUUGUUAGAGGAUACCUUGUCCGAAAGCAGAUGAGGUUACGAAGAAAAGCUGUUAUUUCACUACAGUCUUAUUUCAGAAUGAGAAAGGCUCAGCAGUAUUAUCUGAAAAUGUAUAAAGCAAUUAUUGUCAUUCAGAAUUACUAUCAUGCAUACAAAGCACAGGUCAAUCAGAGGAAGAACUUCUUGCAAGUCAAAAAAGCAGCUACUUGCUUGCAAGCAGCUUACAGAGGUUAUAAAGUACGCCAGCUAAUCAAACAACAAUCUAUAGCUGCUCUUAAAAUUCAGUCUGCUUUUAGAGGCUAUAAUAAAAGGGUAAAAUAUCAAUCUGUGCUUCAAUCUAUAAUAAAGAUUCAGAGAUGGUACAGGGCGUACAAGACUCUUCAUGAUACAAGAACACAUUUUUUGAAGACAAAGGCAGCUGUGAUUUCCCUCCAGUCUGCUUAUCGUGGCUGGAAGGUUCGGAAACAGAUUAGAAGGGAACAUCAAGCUGCCUUGAAGAUUCAGUCUGCUUUUAGAAUGGCCAAGGCCCAGAAACAGUUUAGAUUGUUUAAAACAGCAGCAUUAGUCAUCCAGCAAAAUUUCAGAGCAUGGACUGCAGGAAGGAAGCAACGUAUGGAGUAUAUUGAACUCCGUCAUGCGGUACUGAUGCUUCAAUCUAUGUGGAAGGGAAAAACACUGAGAAGACAGCUUCAAAGGCAACAUAAAUGUGCUAUCAUCAUACAGUCAUACUAUAGAAUGCAUGUGCAACAAAAGAAGUGGAAAAUCAUGAAAAAAGCUGCUCUUCUGAUUCAAAAGUAUUAUAGGGCUUACAGUAUUGGAAGAGAACAGAAUCAUUUAUAUUUGAAAACAAAAGCAGCUGUGGUAACUUUACAGUCAGCUUAUCGUGGUAUGAAAGUGAGAAAAAGAAUAAAGGAUUGCAACAAAGCAGCAGUCACUAUACAGUCUAAAUACAGAGCUUACAAAACCAAAAAGAAAUAUGCAACCUAUAGAGCUUCAGCUAUUAUAAUUCAGAGAUGGUAUCGAGGUAUUAAAAUUACAAACCAUCAGCAUAAGGAGUAUCUUAAUUUGAAGAAGACAGCAAUUAAAAUCCAAUCUGUUUAUAGAGGUAUUAGAGUUAGAAGACAUAUUCAACACAUGCACAGGGCAGCCACUUUUAUUAAAGCCAUGUUUAAAAUGCAUCAGUCAAGAAUAAGUUACCAUACAAUGAGAAAAGCAGCUAUUGUUAUUCAAGUAAGAUGUAGAGCAUAUUAUCAAGGUAAAAUGCAGCGUGAAAAGUACCUGACAAUUUUGAAAGCUGUUAAAGUCCUUCAGGCAAGUUUUAGAGGAGUAAGAGUUAGACGGACUCUUAGAAAGAUGCAGAUUGCAGCAACACUCAUUCAGUCAAACUACAGAAGAUACAGACAGCAAACAUAUUUUAAUAAGUUAAAGAAAAUAACAAAAACAGUACAGCAAAGAUACCGGGCAAUGAAAGAAAGAAACAUACAAUUUCAAAGGUAUAACAAACUGAGGCAUUCUGUAAUAUACAUUCAGGCUAUUUUUAGGGGAAAGAAAGCUAGAAGACAUUUAAAAAUGAUGCAUAUAGCCGCAACUCUCAUUCAGAGGAGAUUUAGAACUCUAAUGAUGAGAAGAAGAUUCCUCUCUCUCAAGAAAACUGCUAUUUUGAUUCAGAGAAAAUAUCGGGCACAUCUUUGUACAAAGCAUCACUUACAGUUCCUUCAGGUACAAAAUGCAGUUAUUAAAAUCCAGUCAUCAUACAGAAGAUGGAUGAUAAGGAAAAGGAUGCGAGAGAUGCACAGGGCUGCUACUUUCAUCCAGGCUACUUUCAGAAUGCACAGAUUACAUAUGAGAUAUCAGGCUUUGAAACAGGCCUCCGUUGUGAUCCAACAGCAAUACCAAGCAAAUAGAGCUGCAAAACUGCAGAGGCAGCAUUAUCUCAGACAAAGACACUCUGCUGUGAUCCUUCAGGCUGCAUUCAGGGGUAUGAAAACCAGAAGACAUUUGAAGAGUAUGCAUUCCUCUGCAACCCUUAUUCAGAGUAGGUUUAGAUCAUUACUGGUGAGGAGAAGAUUCAUUUCCCUCAAAAAAGCUACUAUUUUUGUUCAGAGGAAAUAUCGAGCCACCAUUUGUGCCAAACAUAAAUUGCACCAAUUCUUGCACUUAAGAAAGGCAGCCAUUACAAUACAGUCAUCUUACAGAAGACUGAUGGUAAAGAAGAAGUUACAAGAAAUGCAAAGGGCUGCAGUUCUCAUUCAGGCUACUUUCAGGAUGCACAGAACAUAUAUUACAUUUCAGACUUGGAAACAUGCUUCAAUUCUAAUUCAGCAACAUUAUCGAACAUAUAGAGCUGCAAAAUUGCGAAGAGAAAAUUAUAUCAGACAAUGGCAUUCUGCUGUGGUUAUUCAGGCUGCAUAUAAAGGAAUGAAAGCAAGACAACUUUUAAGGGAAAAACACAAAGCUUCUAUCAUAAUACAAAGCACCUACAGAAUGUAUAGGCAGUAUUGUUUCUACCAAAAGCUUCAGUGGGCUACAAAAAUCAUACAAGAAAAAUAUAGAGCAAAUAAAAAGAAACAGAAAGCAUUUCAACACAAUGAACUUAAGAAAGAGACUUGUGUUCAGGCAGGUUUUCAGGACAUGAACAUAAAAAAACAGAUUCAGGAACAGCACCAGGCUGCCAUUAUUAUUCAGAAGCAUUGUAAAGCCUUUAAAAUAAGGAAGCAUUAUCUCCACCUUAGAGCAACAGUAGUUUCUAUUCAAAGAAGAUACAGAAAACUAACUGCAGUGCGUACCCAAGCAGUUAUUUGUAUACAGUCUUAUUACAGAGGCUUUAAAGUACGGAAGGAUAUUCAAAAUAUGCACCGGGCUGCCACACUAAUUCAGUCAUUCUAUCGAAUGCACAGGGCCAAAGUUGAUUAUGAAACAAAGAAAACUGCAGUUGUGGUUAUACAGAAUUAUUAUAGGUUGUAUGUUAGAGUAAAAACAGAAAGAAAAAACUUUUUAGCAGUUCAGAAAUCUGUACGAACUAUUCAGGCUGCUUUUAGAGGCAUGAAAGUUAGACAAAAAUUGAAAAAUGUAUCAGAGGAAAAGAUGGCAGCCAUUGUUAACAAAUCUGCACUCUGCUGUUACAGAAGUAAAACUCAGUAUGAAGCUGUUCAAAGUGAAGGUGUUAUGAUUCAAGAGUGGUAUAAAGCUUCUGGCCUUGCUUGUUCACAGGAAGCAGAGUAUCAUUCUCAAAGUAGGGCUGCAGUAACAAUUCAAAAAGCUUUUUGUAGAAUGGUCACAAGAAAACUGGAAACACAGAAAUGUGCUGCCCUACGGAUUCAGUUCUUCCUUCAGAUGGCUGUGUAUCGGAGAAGAUUUGUUCAGCAGAAAAGAGCUGCUAUCACUUUACAGCAUUAUUUUAGGACGUGGCAAACCAGAAAACAGUUUUUACUAUAUAGAAAAGCAGCAGUGGUUUUACAAAAUCACUACAGAGCAUUUCUGUCUGCAAAACAUCAAAGACAAGUCUAUUUACAGAUCAGAAGCAGUGUUAUCAUUAUUCAAGCUAGAAGUAAAGGAUUUAUACAGAAACGGAAGUUUCAGGAAAUUAAAAAUAGCACCAUAAAAAUUCAGGCUAUGUGGAGGAGAUAUAGAGCCAAGAAAUAUUUAUGUAAAGUGAAAGCUGCCUGCAAGAUUCAAGCCUGGUAUAGAUGUUGGAGAGCACACAAAGAAUAUCUAGCUAUAUUAAAAGCUGUUAAAAUUAUUCAAGGUUGCUUCUAUACCAAACUAGAGAGAACACGAGACAUCGAGCUGCUUGUUUGAUCCAAGCACAUUAUAGAGGAUAUAAAGGAAGGCAGGUCUUUCUUCGGCAGAAGUCUGCUGCUUUGAUCAUACAAAAAUAUAUACGAGCCAGGGAGGCUGGAAAGCGUGAAAGGAUAAAAUAUAUUGAAUUUAAAAAAUCUACAGUUAUCCUACAAGCACUGGUGCGUGGUUGGCUAGUACGAAAAAGAAUUUUAGAACAGAGAGCCAAAAUUCGACUUCUUCACUUCACUGCAGCUGCAUAUUAUCACCUGAAUGCUGUUAGAAUUCAAAGAGCCUAUAAACUUUACCUGGCUGUGAAGAAUGCUAACAAGCAGGUUAAUUCAGUCAUCUGUAUUCAGAGAUGGUUUCGAGCAAGAUUACAAGAAAAGAGAUUUAUUCAGAAAUAUCAUAGCAUCAAAAAGAUUGAGCAUGAAGGUCAAGAAUGUCUGAGCCAGCGAAAUAGGGCUGCAUCAGUAAUACAGAAAGCAGUGCGCCAUUUUGUCCUCCGUAAAAAGCAGGAAAAAUUCACUAGUGGAAUCAUUAAAAUUCAGGCAUUGUGGAGAGGCUAUUCUUGGAGGAAGAAAAAUGAUUGUACAAAAAUUAAAGCUAUACGACUAAGUCUUCAAGUUGUUAAUAGGGAGAUUCGAGAAGAAAACAAACUCUACAAAAGAACUGCACUUGCACUUCAUUACCUUUUGACAUAUAAGCACCUUUCUGCCAUUCUUGAGGCCUUAAAACACCUAGAGGUAGUUACUAGAUUGUCUCCACUUUGUUGUGAGAACAUGGCCCAGAGUGGAGCAAUUUCUAAAAUAUUUGUUUUGAUCCGAAGUUGUAAUCGCAGUAUUCCUUGUAUGGAAGUCAUCAGAUAUGCUGUGCAAGUCUUGCUUAAUGUAUCUAAGUAUGAGAAAACUACUUCAGCAGUUUAUGAUGUAGAAAAUUGUAUAGAUAUACUAUUGGAGCUUUUGCAGAUAUACCGAGAAAAGCCUGGUAAUAAAGUUGCAGACAAAGGCGGAAGCAUUUUUACAAAAACUUGUUGUUUGUUGGCUAUUUUACUGAAGACAACAAAUAGAGCCUCUGAUGUACGAAGUAGGUCCAAAGUUGUUGACCGUAUUUACAGUCUCUACAAACUUACAGCUCAUAAACAUAAAAUGAAUACUGAAAGAAUACUUUACAAGCAAAAGAAGAAUUCUUCUAUAAGCAUUCCUUUUAUCCCAGAAACACCUGUAAGGACCAGAAUAGUUUCAAGACUUAAGCCAGAUUGGGUUUUGAGAAGAGAUAACAUGGAAGAAAUCACAAAUCCCCUGCAAGCUAUUCAAAUGGUGAUGGAUACGCUUGGCAUUCCUUAUUAGUAAAUGUAAACAUUUUCAGUAUGUAUAGUGUAAAGAAAUAUUAAAGCCAAUCAUGAGUACAUAAAGUGAUUUUUGCUCUCUGUGUACAACUUUUAAAAUCUGACUUUGUUUUAAAAAAACAUAAAUUGUUCAUUACAUUCUUCAUUUUUAUCAUUUAUAGUUUUAUGCAUGUAAUAAACUAAUAUGUCAUAAGAUGAU